AAAACUUCAGUCCUACCCCCGGACAAAGCUGCCCAUCACCUGUGCGCACGGCGACAGCCGUGAAGUACCUGCGAAGCGGGUUACCAUCGCAGCGCCAACCGGCACCUGGCCAAUAGAUGUCGGGUUCGUCAAGGAUGUGCCAGUACCCCCGACGGCAUCCCGUGUUGCUGGCAUCAGACAGCCCCAAGGACGAGAGCAGUGUGUGACCGCCAGCCGCACUGCACAUGGGGGAGCAUGGACCCACACCACACUAGCGCACCAAUUGAAGAGGAAGCCUAGCACCGAGCACCAAACGUCUCACACCAACGCCCUUUCACCCCCAUACCCUCAAUAAAAUCCACCCUUCAGGGAACUUACCUGCAUCCUCGAGUCAUGUCCUUCACCUCGCCACAAUCUACAUUAAGGACAGAUGAGACACGUGUGUUUAUCUGCUGAAAAGAGAAAUGCUGCCAUCAAAG
Long non-coding RNA from Carassius auratus (goldfish), 458 nucleotides. RefSeq lists it as uncharacterized. The transcript has 3 exons. The record is from RefSeq and is a predicted model, not a curated record. NCBI's taxonomy places the organism in Eukaryota, Metazoa, Chordata, Actinopteri, Cypriniformes, Cyprinidae.